Molecule: ribosomal RNA, 164 nt
Filed under: uncultured bacterium
Lineage: Bacteria
Description: partial 16S rRNA
Rfam family: Bacterial small subunit ribosomal RNA
Source: RNAcentral
UAGGGAAUCUUCCACAAUGGGCGAAAGCCUGAUGGANCAACGCCGCGUGUGUGAUGAAGGGUUUCGGCUCGUAAAACACUGUUGUAAGAGAAGAAUGACAUUGAGAGUAACUGUUCAAUGUGUGACGGUAUCUUACCAGAAAGGAACGGCUAAAUACGUGCCAC